UGGGGAAUAUUGGACAAUGGGGGGAACCCUGAUCCAGCCAUGCCGCGUGUGUGAAGAAGGCCUUAUGGUUGUAAAGCACUUUAAGCGAGGAGGAGGGUACUGGUAUUAAUACUACCAGGUACUGGACGUUACUCGCAGAAUAAGCACCGGCUAACUCUGUGCCAGCAGCCGCGGUAAUACAGAGGGUGCGAGCGUUAAUCGGAAUUACUGGGCGUAAAGCGCGCGUAGGUGGUUCGUUAAGUUGAAUGUGAAAGCCCCGGGCUCAACCUGGGAACUGCAUCCAAAACUGGCGAGCUAGAGUAGGGCAGAGGGUGGUGGAAUUUCCUGUGUAGCGGUGAAAUGCGUAGAUAUAGGAAGGAACACCAGUGGCGAAGGCGACCACCUGGGCUCAUACUGACACUGAGGUGCGAAAGCAUGGGGAGCAAACAGG
This 430-nucleotide ribosomal RNA is filed under the name Pseudomonadota bacterium. RNAcentral describes it as "Proteobacteria bacterium partial 16S ribosomal RNA". It matches the Rfam family "Bacterial small subunit ribosomal RNA", at positions 355 to 776 of the family's 1533-position model. The record is from RNAcentral. Lineage: Bacteria; Pseudomonadati; Pseudomonadota.